GACGAACGCUGGCGGCGUGCCUAAUACAUGCAAGUAGAACGCUGAAGAGAGGAGCUUGCUCUUCUUGGAUGAGUUGCGAACGGGUGAGUAACGCGUAGGUAACCUGCCUUGUAGCGGGGGAUAACUAUUGGAAACGAUAGCUAAUACCGCAUAACAAUAGGUGACACAUGUCAUUUAUUUGAAAGGGGCAAUUGCUCCACUACAAGAUGGACCUGCGUUGUAUUAGCUAGUAGGUGAGGUAACGACUCACCUAGGCGACGAUACAUAGCCGACCUGAGAGGGUGAUCGGCCACACUGGGACUGAGACACGGCCCAGACUCCUACGGGAGGCAGCAGUAGGGAAUCUUCGGCAAUGGGGGCAACCCUGACCGAGCAACGCCGCGUGAGUGAAGAAGGUUGUCGGAUCGUAAAGCUCUGUUGUAAGUCAAGAACGAGUGUGAGAGUGGAAAGUUCACACUGUGACGGUAGCUUACCAGAAAGGGACGGCUAACUACGUG
RNAcentral lists this ribosomal RNA (497 nucleotides) under uncultured bacterium. RNAcentral's name for it is "partial 16S ribosomal RNA". It matches the Rfam family "Bacterial small subunit ribosomal RNA", at positions 28 to 507 of the family's 1533-position model. The record is from RNAcentral.